AUCGGGGCAGGGUGAGUCGACCCCUAAGGCGAGGCCGAAAGGCGUAGUCGAUGGGAAACAGGUUAAUAUUCCUGUACUUGGUGUUACUGCGAAGGGGGGACGGAGAAGGCUAUGUUGGCCGGGCGACGGUUGUCCCGGUUUAAGCGUGUAGGCUGGUUUUCCAGGCAAAUCCGGAAAAUCAAGGCUGAGGCGUGAUGACGAGGCACUGCGGUGCUGAAGCAACAAAUGCCCUGCUUCCAGGAAAAGCCUCUAAGCAUCAGGUAACAUCAAAUCGUACCCCAAACCGACACAGGUGGUCAGGUAGAGAAUACCAAGGCGCUUGAGAGAACUCGGGUGAAGGAACUAGGCAAAAUGGUGCCGUAACUUCGGGAGAAGGCACGCUGAUAUGUAGGUGAAGUCCCUCGCGGAUGGAGCUGAAAUCAGUCGAAGAUACCAGCUGGCUGCAACUGUUUAUUAAAAACACAGCACUGUGCAAACACGAAAGUGGACGUAUACGGUGUGACGCCUGCCCGGUGCCGGAAGGUUAAUUGAUGGGGUUAGCGCAAGCGAAGCUCUUGAUCGAAGCCCCGGUAAACGGCGGCCGUAACUAUAACGGUCCUAAGGUAGCGAAAUUCCUUGUCGGGUAAGUUCCGACCUGCACGAAUGGCGUAAUGAUGGCCAGGCUGUCUCCACCCGAGACUCAGUGAAAUUGAACUCGCUGUGAAGAUGCAGUGUACCCGCGGCAAGACGGAAAGACCCCGUGAACCUUUACUAUAGCUUGACACUGAACAUUGAGCCUUGAUGUGUAGGAUAGGUGGGAGGCUUUGAAGUGUGGACGCCAGUCUGCAUGGAGCCGACCUUGAAAUACCACCCUUUAAUGUUUGAUGUUCUAACGUUGACCCGUAAUCCGGGUUGCGGACAGUGUCUGGUGGGUAGUUUGACUGGGGCGGUCUCCUCCUAAAGAGUAACGGAGGAGCACGAAGGUUGGCUAAUCCUGGUCGGACAUCAGGAGGUUAGUGCAAUGGCAUAAGCCAGCUUGACUGCGAGCGUGACGGCGCGAGCAGGUGCGAAAGCAGGUCAUAGUGAUCCGGUGGUUCUGAAUGGAAGGGCCAUCGCUCAACGGAUAAAAGGUACUCCGGGGAUAACAGGCUGAUACCGCCCAAGAGUUCAUAUCGACGGCGGUGUUUGGCACCUCGAUGUCGGCUCAUCACAUCCUGGGGCUGAAGUAGGUCCCAAGGGUAUGGCUGUUCGCCAUUUAAAGUGGUACGCGAGCUGGGUUUAGAACGUCGUGAGACAGUUCGGUCCCUAUCUGCCGUGGGCGCUGGAGAACUGAGGGGGGCUGCUCCUAGUACGAGAGGACCGGAGUGGACGCAUCACUGGUGUUCGGGUUGUCAUGCCAAUGGCACUGCCCGGUAGCUAAAUGCGGAAGAGAUAAGUGCUGAAAGCAUCUAAGCACGAAACUUGCCCCGAGAUGAGUUCUCCCUGACUCCUUGAGAGUCCUGAAGGAACGUUGAAGACGACGACGUUGAUAGGCCGGGUGUGUAAGCGCAGCGAUGCGUUGAGCUAACCGGUACUAAUGAACCGUGAG
RNAcentral lists this ribosomal RNA (1567 nucleotides) under Escherichia coli. RNAcentral describes it as "partial 23S ribosomal RNA". It matches the Rfam family "Bacterial large subunit ribosomal RNA", at positions 1368 to 2915 of the family's 2925-position model. Lineage: Bacteria; Pseudomonadati; Pseudomonadota; Gammaproteobacteria; Enterobacterales; Enterobacteriaceae. The record is from RNAcentral.